UACGGAGGGGGCUAGCGUUGUUCGGAAUUACUGGGCGUAAAGCGCUCGUAGGCGGCCUUGUAAGUUAGAGGUGAAAGCCCGGGGCUCAACUCCGGAAUUGCCUUUAAGACUGCAUCGCUAGAAUUGUGGAGAGGUAAGUGGAAUUCCGAGUGUAGAGGUGAAAUUCGUAGAUAUUGGGAAGAACACCAGUGGCGAAGGCGGCUCACUGGACCGACACUGACGCUGAGGCGCGAAAGCGUGGGGAGCAAACAGG
This 253-nucleotide ribosomal RNA is filed under the name uncultured bacterium. RNAcentral describes it as "partial 16S ribosomal RNA". It matches the Rfam family "Bacterial small subunit ribosomal RNA", at positions 524 to 776 of the family's 1533-position model. The record is from RNAcentral.